UACAGAGGGUGCGAGCGUUGUCCGGAAUCACUGGGCGUAAAGGGCGCGUAGGCGGCCUGAUAAGUAGGGGGUGAAAUCUUGCGGCUCAACCGCAAGGCUGCCUUCUAAACUGUCAGGCUGGAGCACGGUAGAGGCAGAUGGAAUUCCCGGUGUAGCGGUGGAAUGCGUAGAGAUCCGGAAGAACACCAGUGGCGAAGGCGGCCCGCUGGGCAGUGGCUGACGCUGAGGCGCGACAGCGUGGGGAGCAAACAGG
RNAcentral lists this ribosomal RNA (253 nucleotides) under uncultured bacterium. RNAcentral describes it as "partial 16S ribosomal RNA". It matches the Rfam family "Bacterial small subunit ribosomal RNA", at positions 524 to 776 of the family's 1533-position model. The record is from RNAcentral.